GCAUUGCACAGAAUCGGACACAACUGAAGCGACGCAGCAGCAGCAGCAGCAGCAGCAGCAGUUCCUUCCGAACUAAGGGAGUCAAUUAAUAACAGAUGAAGAGUGAACCAUCUCUGAUCAGAAGAUGCUGUAUGGCGGUAACAUCACCACUGGAACACCCCCUCAGGAAUUCCAGGGUGAAAGGAAGUGUGAUAUUUGGUGGGGUGGAUAAAUCCCACUGCCAGGGAGCACUCAACUGGGUACCAUUGAUCCACGCCAGAGACUGGAGUUACACAUGGCCAGUACAGAUUGUGGGGAUGCAGGAGGAGAACCAGCAUUCUCUGCAGAGAAAACAAGGAGCAGGAGUCAGAAGGAAAGAAACAGGGAGAGAGGAGAAAUAUGGACACACUUUUUCUUUUCUAAAAAUUUUAUUGAAGUGUGGCUAAUCUUCAGCGUUGCAUUAAGUUCUGCUGCACAGCAAUGUGACACCAUUAUACACAUACAGAAAUAUAUAUUCUUUUUCUUAUUCUUUUUCAUGUGGUUUACCACUGGAUAUUUAAUAUAUUUCCUUAAGCUCUACAGUAGGACUUGUUGUUUAUCAUUCCUCUGUACCCCCAACUCCCAGUCCUCCCCUCCCCCACACCCUUCCUUAUGGCAACCUCAUGUUUUGGCCCUUUUUGGUUGUGGAUGAACUCUCAUAUCCCUUGCUAAGGAGAAAAUCCCUUGAUACUUACCAAAAGAGGGAAAUAAAACAAAGAAUUUUGCUGGGUCUGGAUAUUUGUGGGAGUCGCAGGUAAGGGCUCAGGCUGAAUGGUGUGUGUCUCUGACUCCCCCAGGAUUCUGGAGGCCACUGCCAUACCACCUUUAAAGAGAACACAGGGAGGACAUCUAGAAAGACCUGGAUGCUGGGUGACGCCUUCCUGAGGCUGUAUUUUUUAGUCUUUGAUCAAGGAAAUUACAGGAAUCACCUGGCACAGGCAAUAUAAAUGCUUGGAGUGGUUCAGGAAUCAGUAAGGCCACUCUGAGCAAACACUAAAUCACACUUAGGGUACUCCUGCCCAGGAUGCUGGUGAACUGUGUU
This is a long non-coding RNA of Bubalus bubalis (water buffalo), 1060 nucleotides long. RefSeq lists it as uncharacterized. The record is from RefSeq and is a predicted model, not a curated record. NCBI's taxonomy places the organism in Eukaryota, Metazoa, Chordata, Mammalia, Artiodactyla, Bovidae. The transcript is spliced from 4 exons.